Molecule: unclassified non-coding RNA, 369 nt
Filed under: Hevea brasiliensis (rubber tree)
Lineage: Eukaryota; Viridiplantae; Streptophyta; Magnoliopsida; Malpighiales; Euphorbiaceae
Source: RNAcentral
GGUAAUACUGGUGGUGGCAGGUGUUUAGGUGUUGUGUAGGGACACUGAAGUUGCAGGCACAAUAAGUGGGUCCAAUCAUGGGGAUGAACGGAUAAAGAUGCUUGAUCAUCAAAAUCAGACAUUUUUUCAUUUUCUGCUGCCUAACCAGCCAGCCAGCCAGCCAGCCAGCUCGUUAUUUUUAAUGCACUAAUCUAUCCAACAAAUUUUCCGGUUUAUAGUAUUGGUGUAACCGUCUAAAGCAUAAAAACAACAGGAAAAUCCCAGAGGAAUAUAGAGUAAAAUACACGACGCAAUGCCACUAAUAAUAGCCAAUUUCUUGCCAAACUAGAACAACGAAACAAGAUUUGCUUGAGAUGGAAAGAAUUAAUU